Symphalangus syndactylus (siamang) is the source of this 4250-nucleotide RNA transcript. It is a transcript of the gene named coiled-coil-helix-coiled-coil-helix domain containing 6, with no coding region annotated. The record is from RefSeq and is a predicted model, not a curated record. Lineage: Eukaryota; Metazoa; Chordata; Mammalia; Primates; Hylobatidae.
CGCGGCCGCGCGAGUCCUGGAAAGCGUUGUUGGCCGGGUUGCUCUGGUGCCGGGUCUCGGGUCUGGUGGCUGCCUGCCCUCCAACAUCUCGCCAUGGGGAGCACGGAGAGCAGCGAGGGCCGUAGGGUGUCCUUCGGAGUGGACGAGGAGGAGCGGGUCCGGGUGCUGCAGGGCGUCCGGCUGUCUGAAAACGUGGUGAACCGCAUGAAGGAGCCCAGCUCUCCACCCCCUGCUCCUGCACCUUCUACCUUUGGCCUUCAAGAUGGCAACUUGAGAGCCCCUCACAAAGAAUCCACACUGCCCAGGUCGGGGAGCACUGGUGGCCAGCAGCCCUCAGGGACGAAGGAGGGUGUCAAGAGGUAUGAACAGGAGCAUGGUGCUGUCCAGGAUAAGCUCUUCCAGGUGGCAAAGAGGGAAAGAGAGGCUGCCACCAAGCACUCCAAGGCAUCCCUGCCCACGGGCGAAGGCAGCAUCAGGCAUGAGGAGCAGAAGUCAGUCCGGCUGCAGGCCAGGGAGCUGGAGAGCAGAGAGGCAGAGCUAAGACGCCGUGACACCUUCUACAAGGAGCAGCUGGAGCGUAUUGAGAGGAAGAAUGCUGAGAUGUAUAAACUGUCUUCACAGCAAUUCCAUGAGGCAGCCUCAAAGAUGGAGAGCACAAUAAACUUCUUGCAAGGCCAGUGGCCCCUCCCUUUCUACCUGGAGCCAGGACCCACCUGCCAAGGAGAAGAUGCACUGGGGGAGAAGCCAGACAGCUUUCUGUUGAAUGUCUUGGAAUUUUCUAAAGGCAGAGUGGAGCUCAUGUGGCAGUGCAGAGAGCAAGAGCUAUGGAGCUGAGCACACUCCACUCUUCCUAUUGUGGCCCCUCUCACUGCUGUGUGACUGUGGGCCAGUCACGUGAGCUGCCUGUGACUUACCAACCCCGCCUGCAGAACAGGGCGGGAAGGCCCAGCUCACAGGGUCGUUGUGAACCUAGAACACGGGAAGCCCUGACAGGCAGAAGUUCCCAAGACCACAGACAUCCAGAUCCACUCUCAAAUGAGGCCGAAUUUUCUGCCUGUGCUGUUGACCAUCAGCUCCCCUCCCACAGCCUGAUCCUCAUCCCAGAUCUCUCCCAGUGCAGAAGACUUCCUGGGCAGCACCUGGAAGCAGCUUUAGGAACCUGCUCAUAAGCUACGGCUCCUCCCCUUUUCCAUUACGUGGGUUAAGUUCUCAGGAACCCCUGGACCCCUCAACCUGACCAGGUUGUCUUCUUCUGAUAACAAUUUGUGACAGGCACCCUCUCCAAAAUGACUUAAUCCAAAAGUGGAACAUAUAGGUUUGUGCUACAGGAAAGCUAAAAAUAGUACCUGGCUUCGAAUUGAAGAACUCAUUUGGUGUUUGGGUCUGUUUCCUUUUGGACAGUGGGCCGUGGAGUUUGGAAGCCCAGUUUUAUGUUCUCCGUGGAAGAUCACGGUUUCACCCCAUACCUUUCACUGGGCCCAUGAAUGGGUUCGUACUAGCCCAGGCUGGCUCAUACAGGCCAAACCCAUGCUACCCAGGCCAGGAGGGGAGACCUGAGAAAUAAAGGGGUGUCUCUGCCUUACCUGAGAGUCCUGCUGUGUGAAGUCAGUGCAUUAAUAGACAGCAGUGGCACAGCUCCUGCCUUGUAGCACUGCCAGGUCCAGUGUUUCCUUCCCUCCAAUGCUCCUGCUUGGCAGAGUCUCAGAUACAGCCAGUUGUGUGCUUUGAACCAGCAGGCUGUACUGCUGACUCUGAGCCAAGGAGAACAGAAGGGACAACCUGACCCUGCCCAACAGUCUGCAGUUCCUAUCUAGGCACAAACAGGCAGCACUUCAUAACCCAGUGGUGGCCCUGGACCCUGGAGGUUUGUGCAGUCAUGGACAGCUACACGGUCGCCUGCCAUGGACGAAAGGGAAGGCUGCACAGACACCUACUGUGGACGGAAGGGAAGGCUGCACAGAGGUCUGCUGUGGACAGAAGGGAAGGCUGCACGGACUCCUGCCAUGGACGGAAGGGAAGGCUGCACAGAGGUCUGCCAUGGACGGAAGGGAAGGCUGCACAGACUCCUGCCGUGGACGGAAGGGAAGGCUGCACAGACUCCUGCCAUGGACGGAAGGGAAGGCUGCACAGACUCCUGCCAUGGAUGGAAGGGAAGGCUGCACAGAGGUCUGCUGUGGACAGAAGGGAAGGCUUCACGGACUCCUGCCAUGGACGGAAGGGAAGGCUGCACGGACUCCUGCCAUGGAUGGAAGGGAAGGCUGCACAGAGCCUUAUCACUAAUGGGAAGGAAAGGCUGCAUAGAGGCUUGCUUGGAUAGAAGGGAAGGGUGCAGAUUGUCUUGGAUAUGGAGGGAAGGCUGCACACAGAAUUCUCAUGGAUGGAAGGAAAGCUGCACAGAGGAAUGUUUAUGACGAGAAAGGAAGAAUGCAGAGCUUUGCCGUAGAUGGGAAGGAAGGAUGCACAGAAGCUUUUUUGAUGAGAAGAAAAGGCUGCACAAAACCUUUUCAUGGAUGGAAGUGAACGCUGCACAGAUGUCUUGUCAUAGAAGGAAGGGAAAUCUUCAGAGACACUUGUCAAGGAGGAAGGGAGGGCUGCACAGUGGCUUGUUGUGUUAUGAAUGGGAAGGAAGACUGCACAGAGGCUUGCCAUGGGUGUGAAGGGAAGUCUCCACACAAAAUUCUCCUUCCUGCACAGAUGAUGGGAAAAGAAGGGCGCACAGAGGAUUGUCAUGGAUGGAAGUGAGCACUGCACCAAGUUUUGUCAUUGAGGGAAGGGAAGGCUUCAGAGAGGCUUUCUGUGCAUGGAAGAAAAAGUUGUAUGCAGGGUAGUCAGAGACAGAGAUAAAGGCUGCACAGAGGCCUCCCAUAGAGGGAAGUGUAGUUUACAGGGGUUGUCCUACAAGAAGGAAGGUCUGCAGAGAAGCUUAUCGUGGAUCGGCAGGAAGGCUGCACACUAGAAUGUCUAUGAAGGGAAUGGAAGACUGCAAUGAAAAUUGUCAUGGAUGGAAGGGAAUGCUACAGAGAGACUUUUUAUUUUGAGACAAAGUCUCGCUCUAUCUCUCAGGCUGGAAGUGGAGUGGCAUGCUCUCUGCUCACUGCAACAUCCGCCUCCUGGGUGCAAGUGAUUCUCCUGCCUCAGCCUCCCAAGUAACUGGGAUUACAGGCCCUCACCACCAUGCCUGGCUAAUUUGUGUAUUUUUAGUAGAGAUGGGGUUUCACCAUGUUGGCCAGGUGGUUCUCGAACUCCUGACCUCAAGUGAUCGCCUGCUUCGGCCUCCCAAAGUGCUAGGAUUACAGGCAUGAGCCAUUGCGCCUGGCCUGCACAGAAUUUUCAUGGAUGGGAAAGAAAGGCUGCACAGAGGAAUGGCUAUAAUGUGAAGGAGAGGGUGUUCAGAAGCUUGUCGUGGGUGGGAUGAGGCAGCUGCACAGAGCCGUACCAUUGUUGGGAAGGGAAUGAUGCAGAAAGCAUUGUUGUUGAUGGGAAGGAAAGGUUGUAUGGAUUCUUGUUAUGGACUGAAGGUUGCAUAUGUCAUAGAUGGGAAGCGAAGGUUGCACGGAAGCUUGUCAUGGAUGAAAUUGAUAUGGUUUGGCUCUGUUUCCCCACCUAAAUCUCAUUUAAAUUGUAAUUCCCACGUGUCAAGGAAAGAAGGUAGUUGGAUUGUGGGGGUGGUUUCCCCCAGGCUGUUCUCAUGAUGGUGAAUUCUCAUGAGACCUGAUGAUUUUAUAAGGUGCUCUUCCCCCUUUGCCUCUCUGUCUCACCUGCCGCCAUGUAAGAUGUACCUGAUUCCCCCUCCACUAUGAUUGUUAGUUUCCUGAAGCCUCACAAGCAAUGCAAAACUAUAAGUCAAUUAAACCUCUUUUCUUUAUAAAUUACCCAAUCUCAGGCAGUUAUUUAUAGGAGUGUGAAAACAGACUAAUACAAAAAAAUGAAUACUUCACAGAAUGCUGUCAUGUAACUAAGGGAAGACUUCAUAGAAGCUUUCCAUGGAUGGAAGGAAAAGUUGCAAAGAAGCUUUGCGUGGAUUGGAAGGGAGGUUGCUCAGAGGCACGUCAUGAGUGGAAAGGGAAGGGUACAGAGGUUAUGGAUGAAAAGGAAGGUUGCACCAAAACUUAUGGAUAGUGGACCAAGACCAGAGAGAAGGAAGAGGGAGGGAGGAUCUCCUGGGUCUCCUAGCUAGUUAUGGGUUCUUCACCAAGUGCAGUGUAUUCUGCCUGAGGAGAAGUGGGAAUGAGACCAGGGGCCAGUCGGCC